UGCAUACUUAAUCGUUUAUGCUUUUGAGGAAUCAGCGAUGUUCGGUCAGCAAAGAUGAUGUCAUUUUUGUAUAUUUUUGUGCGAUAUAAGUUGGUGUGCCUAUUUUUUUUUAUUUCAGUACUCUAUUGAAAAUUGCCAGUAAGCAUGAACGGAGAUCAUAAACUAAAGAAUGAAUUUCGUUUCUUACCCUGCUAAGAAGAUCUAAGACACAUUUUACUCGGUUUAGCAAAACUUCGUUUUGCCCAAUUUAAGAACUUUUUACACACUUUUAUCCGCU
This 277-nucleotide long non-coding RNA is filed under the name Brachypodium distachyon (stiff brome). RNAcentral describes it as "long non-coding RNA (BDIS_LNC003691)". The record is from RNAcentral. Lineage: Eukaryota; Viridiplantae; Streptophyta; Magnoliopsida; Poales; Poaceae.